GGGUUAGUCCGUACGAGCGCCCCCCUUGUCCCAUAAUGCCAGCACGUAAUGCCGGGAACUCUAGGNAGACGGCCGGUGACAAACCGGAGGAAGGUGGGGACACUCAGGUCAUCAUGGCCCUUACGGCCUGGGCUACACACGUGCUACAAGGGGCAGUACANAGGGCANCAAACUCGCGAGGCCAAGCAAAUCCCUUAAAACUGUUCGUAUCCGGAUUGAAGUCUGCAACUCAACUCCUGAAUUCUUCUCUAUUAAUCGCGGAUCAAAUUUUUCGGUGAAUACGUUCCCGGGCCUUGUACACACCGCCCG
This 309-nucleotide ribosomal RNA is filed under the name uncultured Alcanivorax sp. RNAcentral's name for it is "bacterial SSU rRNA". It matches the Rfam family "Bacterial small subunit ribosomal RNA", at positions 1078 to 1396 of the family's 1533-position model. The record is from RNAcentral. Lineage: Bacteria; Pseudomonadati; Pseudomonadota; Gammaproteobacteria; Oceanospirillales; Alcanivoracaceae.